UGGGGAAUAUUGGACAAUGGGCGAAAGCCUGAUCCAGCCAUGCCGCGUGUGUGAAGAAGGUCUUCGGAUUGUAAAGCACUUUAAGUUGGGAGGAAGGGCAUUAACCUAAUACGUUAGUGUUUUGACGUUACCGACAGAAUAAGCACCGGCUAACUCUGUGCCAGCAGCCGCGGCAAUACAGAGGGUGCAAGCGUUAAUCGGAAUUACUGGGCGUAAAGCGCGCGUAGGUGGUUUGUUAAGUUGGAUGUGAAAUCCCCGGGCUCAACCUGGGAACUGCAUUCAAAACUGACUGACUAGAGUAUGGUAGAGGGUGGUGGAAUUUCCUGUGUAGCGGUGAAAUGCGUAGAUAUAGGAAGGAACACCAGUGGCGAAGGCGACCACCUGGACUAAUACUGACACUGAGGUGCGAAAGCGUGGGGAGCAAACA
RNAcentral lists this ribosomal RNA (427 nucleotides) under uncultured bacterium. Its description in RNAcentral is "partial 16S ribosomal RNA". It matches the Rfam family "Bacterial small subunit ribosomal RNA", at positions 355 to 774 of the family's 1533-position model. The record is from RNAcentral.